RNAcentral lists this long non-coding RNA (2136 nucleotides) under Chinchilla lanigera (long-tailed chinchilla). Its description in RNAcentral is "lncRNA (ENSCLAG00000022331.1)". The record is from RNAcentral. Lineage: Eukaryota; Metazoa; Chordata; Mammalia; Rodentia; Chinchillidae.
UCUCGGUUGGGUUGGUAUUGAGGUAAGCAAAGGUCUGUGCCACUGUGGACACGUACAUCUGAUGUAGCUACGCAGCUGAAUUCUACCAAACCCGCGAAGGGUGGUUUAUUCUUAGAGUACAGGUAGUUCAAGACAAAAUUAAUUUGAGGACAUGACUGUAACCUUGAUUCUAAGAUCAGUAAGGGAAGUACAAGAAAAGGGGCGACAGACCCAUUUAAUGUAUAAGCACAGCGGCAAAACUGCAGCAGCUAACCAAAUCCAACGCUGCACCAAAAAUAUUGAAGAAACUGGUUUUUACUACGUUGAAAACCUAAUGAGAAUUUAAAGAAAAUACCUUGAGACUGGUUCCUAAGCAUGUCUAGUUUCUAAAACAUCUCCCUCAGCCUCUCGUGGUCCACAGAAAAAUGUCACGGCCCAGCGCAUGCGCACUUAGUACACGCGUCUUCCACGCAGAUGCCGACGUCGGUGGCGCAGACCGUGGUGCAGAAGGAGAGCGGCCUGCAGCACACCCGGAAGAUGCUGCACAUCGGGGACCCCAGUGUGAAGAAGACGGCCGUCUCCCUGCUGAGGAACUUGUCCCGGAAUCUCUCUCUGCAGAACGAAAUUGCCAAAGAAACCCUGCCGGAUUUGGUUUCCAUCAUUCCUGACACAGUCCCGACAACGGACCUUCUCGUGGAGACGACAGCCUCGGCCUGUUACACGCUCAACAACGUCACCCAGAACAGCUACCAGCACGCCCGGGACCUCCUGAGCACGGGGGGCCUCCGCAAGGUCAUGGCCAUCAGCGCCGGGGACGCGUAAGUCUGCGCCUCUGCCCCCGCCCACUGUGCCCUUCCUGCCCGAGUCAGCCAGCUGGAAAUGUCACAACUGGGAACUCAGUCCUGAGGCUGGAGACACCGGGUGGUCAGGCAAGUGAGGAGCCAAGUCCACCAAGCCACAUGGCCGCCUCCUCUCUCUAAGAUACCGGACAGGGUGACUCGUAGCUUCUCUCAGCAGUGAGUUCCAGCAUUUGACUGAGCUGAUGAGCUGCUUUCCCAGAGCUGUGAUUUCAGGAAGGCAGUGUUAGGCCGGGCAUGGUGGCACCUACAAUCCCAGCCCAAAAGAAGGCUGAAGCAGGAGGGUCACAAAUUCCAGCCCAGCCCAGGCAAUGUAGCAAAUUAUCAAGAUCCUGUCUCAAAAUGUAAAAGAGAAUUUAAAAAUUCUCUGAAUGUUUUGAAUUUUAAAUUUUUUGGAUUGAAAAAUUCGAAAGAAGCCAGGGGUGUAGCUCAGUGUGAAGGCCCUGGUUUCACUGCCCAGCUGUGCAGAAAGCAGAGUGCGGGCCGGGUGCCGGGUGUCCCGGGAGCAGGGAAACGCCCUCUGCCUUGCUUAGAUCUUCAGCGCCAGUGUCGCAUCAGCGCUUAUCAGAAGCAGGCGGGAAGGAGCCUAACGAGGUCGCUCUGGUUCCCAGGUUUUCUCUGUCACAUCUCUUCCACCUCCUCUUCCCUUCCGAGAGUAGAUGUGGUGCACACCGCGUCUCUCUGUGCACCCAAAUCAUUGCUACUAGAGAGCGGAGGGAAGGGGACGUGAAGAUAAUGUUUAUGUUUAUGUGAUUCAGAAUUGUUUGAUUUGUUACAAAUACUGUUUCCUUGGUGCUGAGAACCGAAGCCAGCACGCUCAGCCAGCACGCUCAGCUCAGCCCUGCACGUUACCCUUGCAGAUAACCCCGAGGAAAGCUGUGUAGCCCAGUCCUAAGGCGCUGUGGAGCAGGUGGGCCUCACCUGUCAUGGACGACGGCAGAGGGCACGUGGGGGUGCAGUCAGGGCUCUCGUCCUGCAGGGAGCACACCCUGCUCCACCCCCACCCUGCUGCCUUGGGCCCUGCUACUCUGCAGCUCCCUCAGGCAAAGCUCCCGAGACAGGAGGACUACAGUCAGACUCAGGCCAGGAAAAUGAGCCUGGAGCCCUGGCCAGGGCAUUUGCCAGGGAGCAGGAAACACUGCCCCGACCCCAGCGGCUGGAGAUAGCACUCGCUCAGUCCUUGCAGAAAGAAUGAACCAUUGCCACAAAACAGAAAUGGCCCUUACAAGCAGCCGUCCGAUCUCUAAGCAAAACAGAAAUGGCCCUUACAAGCAGCCGUCCGAUCUCUAAGCAAAACAGA